CGGCAGUCAACUAACCUGAAAAACAGUUUCAGAGUGAAAUAGCUGCUUCUCCACAAAGAAUAUUAGUUGGGAAUCCAGAUCUUUGUUCUGGAAACACAAAGAACAUGCUUGCAGAAAGAUGACAAUACUUGCUUGAUUUUUAAGUAAUUAUUCAUUGUUUCAGUGGGCUCUUCCUCCAGGUAAUGAGACAGACAAGGAGAGGGGGCCUUUUUUUUUUAUUAAACUCUCCAGACAGGCAUACACACAGAUAAGAAGUAGUAAUUCUAGUCCAGUCUUUAAAAUCCUAAUUAAAAUGCCAAAAUGAUUUCUUCAUACUGUUUUUCUAAAUCAUAAUGCUAAAACAUUGCAUAUUUGGAAAAGGUAUUUCACCCACGGGGAACAGACUCUAGGUUAUCCCCAUUAAACCCAAGCAAAUUCUCUGACACCAUGCUAUCAGCAUGCAGCCAUGCCACAGACAGUCCAUUUCUUAGAAACAUCAACUCUGGGAAGGCAGUUGCUUAUCACAGCCCACCUUUACCCAUUUACUCACAUUUCAUCUCUGCUGUCAGUUAGGAAAAAGCCUCCAACAUAAAAAUUGGAUUUGCUUCGUCUUUUUGUUUAUUGUUUCCAGGUUACAGAAUUAGAACAAGAAAAGAAAAAAAGAUAAAAACUAAAUAUAAAGGAAGAAAACAGAUGUCCUGACAGUCUUUCUGUAUUCUUUCUUGGGGAAAGCUCCGCAGAGACUGAACUCCAUAUCUAAAGCUGUAAGCCGAUCUGGGACAAGAGCACCAAGAAUAGAUGAAUUCUCCAGAAAUUAUGACUACAAGCAUGCAUCUUCUCUAAGCCAUCAUACCUAUUUUGGCAAAACGGCACUUAGGCAGUUUCAUGACCAAAAAGGAUUCCUUUUCUCUGUACAAUUUUUUCUGUACAACUAAAACAGUCAAGAUGCUGGUUUCAGCUACCUGGUUUCCCAGCCCCUCUUUUUUUUUUUUUUUAAUUAUUUUUUAAAGUUAAUAACCCACAAACUACAACUUUAUCAAGUAAUUUCCUCACACAACAACAAACCCUGUAACUGCAGACUAAAUCAUAGAAAUCCCUCAAAAAAUCAACCAAAAAAAAAACAACUUACACGGCUCUCCAUACAUUUUUUUUAAAGUAAGUUUUCAAGUAUGAACCUGCAGUUUAAACCAAUGCUUGUCUUAGAAUAGCUACACUCCUACAGUCUUCACUAUUUGUUUUAUUGACAGCAUCCAAGUCAACCUCACAGGCUUCACUCAGUCCACAGGUAUAAUUUGAAGUCACAUUUUCAGAGAGCAUGGAAAUGGGAAGAAGGUAGGAAAAAAAAAAACAGAGCAACAGAGGGCAGAAUUGGGCAAGAACUAUGCAUUUUCCUAACCUGACAUCUUAGAAAUCUACAUUAACAAAAGUCAUUUAACAACUCUUCAAUUAAAGAAAAUCACUUUGAAUUUGUAUAACUUUUUUUAAAGCAACAGGUAGAAACAAACACCUGGCGCAUCCUCUCAUAAACUUGCUUUAAAGAUGAACUGGGAACACAAUUUUUAUAGGCAAAUAGAGUUCAAUCUAACCUAGUCGAGAAUAAUUCCUUAUUAAUUGGUAUUCAGAUGGUUCAUUAAAAUAUGCAUGUUCACCUAACCCAUAAGAAUUUCCCGGUUCCUUGGUAUUUCACAACUCUGUGAAUUGCAGACUGCAGCCUGGCACUGGUUCCUUGCUAUCAUAUGUCUGAGGAACAUUGCCUUCUUCAGUCUGCACCAAUCAUUUCUUCAUUACACCAAAACAAAAUAGGGUAUUAUUAGGCAUAUCAGCCUUCCUUCUUUUUUUCUUUAAAUUAAUCAGAAUUCAAAUGCUAAGUCUACACUAACUCUUGCUCUUCUAUCAGCUUCUCAAAAGCAACUGGCACUAAUUUGGCUAAGUUUUUCUUUAAAGUGCAGCCUGCAAGUAAAAGAAUAAAAAAAAAAAUCUAAAAGCUAGCAACAGAGCUUAAAGCAGAGUUUAGACAGUUUAUAAAAUUUUCUGGUCAAAGAUGUAACAGCAAUUGCUAGCUGUUGUGGAUUAGGAACAGCUUUUCCCUAUGGGCAGGUUAAAGAAGAGCUGCCUAUUAAUGGUACUUUCUUCUAAAGCAGCUGGUAGAUGUCAAAUCGCAUGCAGCACAAUGGACAGAUUAAGCCAAUUCACUUUAGUAAUCCAGACUUAGAUCUGAAAAAAGAAAGAGAGUUUGCAAGACUAACUUACAAGCUCUGUCCACACACUUGCCUAACAAAAGUGAUUCAUGCUGCCACGCUUCCUAACAACAGCUUGUAUUAAUAACAAUAAUCUAACAUUGAAAUCUACAAAGUGACAUCAUCAGUAUGAGGAAACGGGAGUUUUGCUGUUGUUUGCUGCCAUGAGAAGACAGAGGGAAGGUCAGCCAGCAUUAUUAACACCCAUACUUGAGGAAGUGUCCUCACUGCUGUUUCUGAAACCCACUGGAGAGUACAGUAACGUUAACCCAGGGAGUGCAAGUUAAGCGAGUCCCCUGCAGUGCACCCCUCUAAACAGACAAGUUUCCUAUACCCCAGCCUACCUGCCUUACAGAGGCUGCUGCUGCUCCCGAGCUGCCACUGCCAGAGCCCUGCUAGCAUCGCUCUUCCUUGCAGCGAUGGAGAUCCUCCUUUCUCCACCUGACUGAGAUUUUCACAGCACAAUCCUGCUCAUCAAACACACCAGAAGAUACUCAAGUACAGUUGCUUUAAUUCCUCACUUUUCUACUACCUGAAACUUGAUGCCAUGUGCCAUGUGUACUUUGAAGCACUCCACCCCCAAAAUAGCAAAAACCGCUAAAAAAAAGUCACGGUGCAUCCGCUGGCACUUUGUCAAUUUAUCUGGAUUUGUAAGAGACAAGUUUUUUGGCGCUCCAUCAGUUACCCUUUUAUAAAAUGCUUUUGCUGGAUCCACUUCACUUACUAGUCACCUCCGCUUCCUACAUGACUCAGGUUUCAAGCCAUGAAAGCAGUAAGAGCCUCGGAAGGAGAUAGAAACAAGUGGGAGAACUCAAAUCUUUUGUUAAGGAAGGAUGGAGAAAGGAUCUGAUUGCAGCAUCGGGAGCUGCACGGAACUCAGUGUUCAACAAGCAUUAAAAAAAAAAAGACCACUUUCCUGAAAGCAAACAGAGCUACUCAUUUAACUGUAGAGCAAAGCAAAUGUCAUGUCUAGGUCACACCGAUUACACUGAAGUUAGCACAAGGACGUGCAGACAUAUUUCUCCCAGCUGGAUUGGGAACUUCAAGUAUAAAGUUCUUUUGUUAUGUGAUACAAAGGUUAUACUGGACUCGUGGCAAAGCACCAAUUCCCAAAACAAUCAGUUCUUAAGAGCAAAAUUACUGUAACAUGCUUAUACAACUUGUCAGUGCAAAAAAAAAAAAGGAAGCACUGAUUGGCAGUUUUGCCAUUCUUGUACUAAAGAUCAAAAUCCAGGGCUAGCACUGGAACACACUCAGCGCUACAGGAGGCAGUACUCCCAGAGAAGUCUGGUUACUCAGACAAGUAUUGAGUAAUAACCUACAGUAAAUAUGAAUCACCGAGAUGCCCAUGAGGCCAUCUUCCCCAGAACAGGAACUGCUAAGCAGAGAUCAACAAUGAUGUUCUCUAUUCCUUUCUAGAAGGGAGUAAGCAACUGGAAACACAAGAAGACUAGUGCUGGUAACUGCUGCCAGCUAAAGGAAAGCCACCCUCCAAGAACAAAGGUCCAGUUGGCUCAGCUUCACUUCUCUGAAGUUCCCAGCUCUGUUAAUAUAAGUAAGAAGCUCUGAAGAGAUGACGACAGACAAAGGUACGUCUGGUUUGUAUAGCACGGGCUACAACCACAGCACUUUGACAACACUUCUGUUUGUACCUGAUCAAGGAAAAAAGCUAAAAACAAGAAAGCUACGGCAAAGCUCCUCUGCUCAGUCACACUACAACCAAAAGGCUUGUUUUUACAGCUCUCAGUACAUCUAGAGAGCAGGAAGGUGAUCAAAAGCUGCCUUUCUGCAUGCUGACUUUUUACAUGAGACAUUCUUGUUGGGAAACGAGGGGGAACAUUAGCUGCUUCAGUGCCUUCCUCAGUGCAGAGCAGGGAAUGGGUAUAGAAAGUCAGCCACAGGAGUGGUUCUUAUUGCACGUGCCAUUCUCCAGAUCACCUGAGUUUUCCCCAAACUCAAGUCCUAUACUCAGAUAUGUUGAGCAAACAAGAAUAAAACCUAGUUGGCUGUUAUAAAGCCAAGGCUGUUAUAAAAGGGGCAAGCCAGGGAAACAGGCAGCCAAAAGCUUUGAGAGCAGCAGGAACGGUGGGGUGGUACUUCUGGCUGUAAUACACACCACAGUGCAAAAACACACCUCACUGAAUCCUUCUUAGACUGUCUUUGAGGCUGGCACUCCAAACAGCCCAUUCCCUGUGGGUUCACACCCUCUGCCUCCAAAGACCCCCUUCAUACCAGCAGCAGCCCCCAGCUCUUUCAGACCAUGCUCCUCCCGAAGAGGCCACCCUGCACAACACAAGUACCAACUCGGGUUUCUGUGUGAACACAGCUUCCCACAAACCCUUGAAUGUAAUCAAAUUCUACAUCUGGCACCUCUCUGUUAAUAUUUUUCUGGCCUCCUGCAACUAAAUAAUUCCUUUUAUAAAUCACCUGGGGAGCAAAGGAGAGACGGGCAGAACAGGGCACCGUGCAGCCUCCUUCCCCAGGGACCUGCUGAGAUAGCGGAGAGGCAGCAUCUCCCACUUCUCAUUUUAAAACAGCAUUGUCAUGGCAACUUCAUGCAACAAGCUAACUGCUCCUCAAACAGAUCGGCAUUUCUCUGGAAGAUGCCUCUGACCCACCAAUUCCACAUUUCCAGCAGACUACAGCCCUUACUGGAAGAUGACGCAUACU
This is a long non-coding RNA of Cygnus olor (mute swan), 4886 nucleotides long. RefSeq lists it as uncharacterized. The record is from RefSeq and is a predicted model, not a curated record. The transcript has 3 exons. Lineage: Eukaryota; Metazoa; Chordata; Aves; Anseriformes; Anatidae.